Molecule: ribosomal RNA, 484 nt
Filed under: Neisseria flava
Lineage: Bacteria; Pseudomonadati; Pseudomonadota; Betaproteobacteria; Neisseriales; Neisseriaceae
Description: bacterial SSU rRNA
Rfam family: Bacterial small subunit ribosomal RNA
Source: RNAcentral
AUUGACGCUGGCGGCAUGCUUUACACAUGCAAGUCGGACGGCAGCACAGAGAAGCUUGCUUCUUGGGUGGCGAGUGGCGAACGGGUGAGUAACAUAUCGGAACGUACCGAGCAGUGGGGGAUAACUAAUCGAAAGAUUAGCUAAUACCGCAUAUUUUCUGAGGAAGAAAGCAGGGGACCAUUUGGCCUUGCGCUGUUUGAGCGGCCGAUAUCUGAUUAGCUAGUUGGUGGGGUAAAGGCCUACCAAGGCGACGAUCAGUAGCGGGUCUGAGAGGAUGAUCCGCCACACUGGGACUGAGACACGGCCCAGACUCCUACGGGAGGCAGCAGUGGGGAAUUUUGGACAAUGGGUCGCAAGCCUGCAUCCAGCCCAUGCCGUCGUGUCUGAAGAAGGUCCUUCGGGUUGUAAAGGCACUUUUGUCAGGGAAGCCAAAGGGCGGGGUUCACUACACCCUGUCUGCAUGCACGGUCACAUCGUAAGUACA